UGCACUCACUACUGUAAGUCACUCUGGAUAAGAGUGUCUGAUAAAUGAAGAAAA
This is a non-coding RNA of Salmo salar (Atlantic salmon), 54 nucleotides long. Lineage: Eukaryota; Metazoa; Chordata; Actinopteri; Salmoniformes; Salmonidae. The record is from Rfam.